GACGAACGCUGGCGGCGUGCUUAACACAUGCAAGUCGAACGGUGAUGCUCCAGCUUGCUGGAGUGGAUCAGUGGCGAACGGGUGAGUAACACGUGAGCAACCUGCCCCAGACUCUGGAAUAAGCGCUGGAAACGGCGUCUAAUACUGGAUACGAAACUGGCCCGCAUGGGCAUGGUUUGGAAAGUUUUUCGGUUUGGGAUGGGCUCGCGGCCUAUCAGCUUGUUGGUGAGGUAAUGGCUCACCAAGGCGACGACGGGUAGCCGGCCUGAGAGGGCGACCGGCCACACUGGGACUGAGACACGGCCCAGACUCCUACGGGAGGCAGCAGUGGGGAAUAUUGCACAAUGGGCGAAAGCCUGAUGCAGCGACGCCGCGUGAGGGAUGGCGGCCUUCGGGUUGUAAACCUCUUUCAGCAGGGAAGAAGCGAAAGUGACGGUACCUGCAGAAGAAGCACCGGCUAACUACGUG
RNAcentral lists this ribosomal RNA (468 nucleotides) under uncultured bacterium. RNAcentral describes it as "partial 16S ribosomal RNA". It matches the Rfam family "Bacterial small subunit ribosomal RNA", at positions 28 to 507 of the family's 1533-position model. The record is from RNAcentral.